RNAcentral lists this ribosomal RNA (375 nucleotides) under uncultured eukaryote. RNAcentral describes it as "partial 18S ribosomal RNA". It matches the Rfam family "Eukaryotic small subunit ribosomal RNA", at positions 592 to 976 of the family's 1831-position model. The record is from RNAcentral.
UAAUAGCGUAUAUUUAAGUUGUUGCAGUUAAAAAGCUCGUAGUUGGAUUUCGGUUAAGAGCGACCGGUCCGCCGUUUGGUGUGCACUGGUUGGUUUUAACUUCCUGUAGAGGACGUGCUCUGGGUUUAACGACCUGGACUCGGAGUCUACGUGGUUACUUUGAAAAAAUUAGAGUGUUCAAAGCGGGCUUACGCUUGAAUAUUUCGGCAUGGAAUAACACUAUAGGACUCCUGUCCUAUUUCGUUGGUCUCGGGACGGGAGUAAUGAUUAAGAGGAACAGUUGGGGGCAUUCGUAUUUCAUUGUCAGAGGUGAAAUUCUUGGAUUUAUGAAAGACGAACUUCUGCGAAAGCAUUUGCCAAGGAUGUUUUCAUUAA